Molecule: ribosomal RNA, 426 nt
Filed under: uncultured bacterium
Lineage: Bacteria
Description: partial 16S ribosomal RNA
Rfam family: Bacterial small subunit ribosomal RNA
Source: RNAcentral
GUGAGGAAUUUUCCGCAAUGGGCGAAAGCCUGACGGAGCAAUGCCGCGUGAAGGAUGAAGGCCUAUGGGUUGUAAACUUCUUUUCUCAGAAAAGAAUUAUGACGGUAUCUGAGGAAUAAGCAUCGGCUAACUCUGUGCCAGCAGCCGCGGUAAGACAGAGGAUGCAAGCGUUAUCCGGAAUGAUUGGGCGUAAAGCGUCUGUAGGUUGUUUAAAAAGUAUUCUGUCAAAGAUUAGGGCUUAACCCUAGAUAGGCAGAAUAAACUUUUAAGCUAGAGUUUGGUAGAGGCAGAGGGAAUUCCCGGUGGGGCGGUGAAAUGCGUAGAUAUCGGGAGGAACACCAAAGGCGAAGGCACUCUGCUGGGCCAAUACUAACACUGAGAGACGAAAGCGAGGGGAGCAAAUGGGAUUAGAAACCCCGGUAGUCC